This 468-nucleotide ribosomal RNA is filed under the name uncultured bacterium. RNAcentral describes it as "partial 16S ribosomal RNA". It matches the Rfam family "Bacterial small subunit ribosomal RNA", at positions 28 to 507 of the family's 1533-position model. The record is from RNAcentral.
GACGAACGCUGGCGGCGUGCUUAACACAUGCAAGUCGAACGGAAAGGCCCUGCUUUUGUGGGGUGCUCGAGUGGCGAACGGGUGAGUAACACGUGAGUAACCUGCCCUUGACUUUGGGAUAACUUCAGGAAACUGGGGCUAAUACCGGAUAGGAUCUCCUGCUGCAUGGUGGGGGUUGGAACGUUUCGGCGGUUGGGGAUGGACUCGCGGCUUAUCAGCUUGUUGGUGGGGUAGUGGCUUACCAAGGCUUUGACGGGUAGCCGGCCUGAGAGGGUGACCGGCCACAUUGGGACUGAGAUACGGCCCAGACUCCUACGGGAGGCAGAAGUGGGGAAUAUUGCACAAUGGGCGGAAGCCUGAUGCAGCAACGCCGCGUGCGGGAUGACGGCCUUCGGGUUGUAAACCGCUUUCGCCUGUGACGAAGCGUGAGUGACGGUAAUGGGUAAAGAAGCACCGGCUAACUACGUG